Solanum lycopersicum (tomato) is the source of this 119-nucleotide non-coding RNA. NCBI's taxonomy places the organism in Eukaryota, Viridiplantae, Streptophyta, Magnoliopsida, Solanales, Solanaceae. The record is from Rfam.
GAGUUAUUAAAGAGUGUGUUUACCAUAUAACAUUAAAGGUUGGUGAUAUCAAUAAGCGAUUCUCUGCACCUUUCAAAUACUUCUCGUUUUGGUUACGGCCUCGAACAAAUCGCUAAAUU